GCUUUUUGAGUUCUUCUUGCUGCUUGGCAAGCUCAUCUUCAUUCAGGGCCAAGCUGGACUGCUUGUGGAUGCCCUCGGGGUCGACGACGGAGCCCUAGCCGGAGCUCGCCGCACCCUACUCAAAAGACUUUUCGACCAUUUUUCU
Molecule: non-coding RNA, 145 nt
Filed under: Schmidingerella taraikaensis
Lineage: Eukaryota; Ciliophora; Spirotrichea; Tintinnida; Rhabdonellidae
Source: RNAcentral